RNAcentral lists this ribosomal RNA (231 nucleotides) under uncultured bacterium. RNAcentral's name for it is "partial 16S ribosomal RNA". It matches the Rfam family "Bacterial small subunit ribosomal RNA", at positions 118 to 348 of the family's 1533-position model. The record is from RNAcentral.
UGAGGAACAUGACCUUCGGCGGGGGAUAGCCGGCCCAACGGCCGGGUAAUACCGCGUACGACCAUUUGAGGACCUCCUCGAAUGGUGAAAGCAGCAAUGCGCCGAUGGAGUGCCUCGCGGCCUAUCAGCUAGUUGGUGAGGUAACGGCUCACCAAGGCAACGAUGCGUAGCCGACCUGAGAGGGUNAUCGGCCACAUUGGAACUGAGACACGGUCCAGACUCCGUAGGAGG